This 310-nucleotide ribosomal RNA is filed under the name Enterococcus faecalis. Its description in RNAcentral is "bacterial SSU rRNA". It matches the Rfam family "Bacterial small subunit ribosomal RNA", at positions 1 to 301 of the family's 1533-position model. The record is from RNAcentral. Lineage: Bacteria; Bacillati; Bacillota; Bacilli; Lactobacillales; Enterococcaceae.
UCUUCGGAGAGUUUGAUCCUGGCUCAGGACGAACGCUGGCGGCGUGCCUAAUACAUGCAAGUCGAGCGGACAGAUGGGAGCUUGCUCCCUGAUGUUAGCGGCGGACGGGUGAGUAACACGUGGGUAACCUGCCUGUAAGACUGGGAUAACUCCGGGAAACCGGGGCUAAUACCGGAUGGUUGUUUGAACCGCAUGGUUCAAACAUAAAAGGUGGCUUCGGCUACCACUUACAGAUGGACCCGCGGCGCAUUAGCUAGUUGGUGAGGUAAUGGCUCACCAAGGCAACGAUGCGUAGCCGACCUGAGAGGGU